UGGGAAUAUUGCACAAUGGGCGCAAGCCUGAUGCAGCCAUGCCGCGUGUGUGAAGAAGGCCUUCGGGUUGUAAAGCACUUUCAGCGAGGAGGAAGGUGGUGAGCUUAAUACGCUCAUCAAUUGACGUUACUCGCAGAAGAAGCACCGGCUAACUCCGUGCCAGCAGCCGCGGUAAUACGGAGGGUGCAAGCGUUAAUCGGAAUUACUGGGCGUAAAGCGCACGCAGGCGGUUUGUUAAGUCAGAUGUGAAAUCCCCGGGCUCAACCUGGGAACUGCAUUUGAAACUGGCAAGCUAGAGUCUCGUAGAGGGGGGUAGAAUUCCAGGUGUAGCGGUGAAAUGCGUAGAGAUCUGGAGGAAUACCGGUGGCGAAGGCGGCCCCCUGGACGAAGACUGACGCUCAGGUGCGAAAGCGUGGGGAGCAAAACAGGAUUAGAUACCCUGGUAGUCCACGCUGUAAACGAUGUCGAUUUUGGAGGUUGUGCCCUUGAGGCGUGGCUUCCGGAGCUAACGCGUUAAAUCGACCGCCUGGGGAGUACGGCC
This 541-nucleotide ribosomal RNA is filed under the name uncultured bacterium. RNAcentral describes it as "partial 16S ribosomal RNA". It matches the Rfam family "Bacterial small subunit ribosomal RNA", at positions 356 to 887 of the family's 1533-position model. The record is from RNAcentral.